UUUUUUUCCGGCCAGCCCACUCUCUCGCCGUCUGGCCAACCCAACACUGUCACCUCACACCGCCGCAGGCCGGGCACGCCACCGGACCAUCUUCUUCGAUUCCUCUUCUCCUCCGGUCAGGAGGAUCGAAUCACGAGAAGUUUCACCGACGACGGCUACUUCACCGUUGACCUUUUCACCACUUGCACCGUGUUUACUGUGAUGGAGAGUGACGAGGAGUUCCUCGCUAAUGGACAAAUUAAGGAGAGUAGUGGCGAACUGGUGACUAGCGAUCCAACGGUGACCGAGCAUUACCACCAUAUUCUCCUAAGUCAGGCGUGCAGCAGCAGCAAACAGGCUGGUGACGACAACGGAGCAGCUCGGCCACCACAGCCUCCCCUAAUGUCGUCGGCCAGCAGCUCAGCUUCCAUCAGUCUUCAGGUCGUCUAGAGCAACUGCGGUGGAUGAUGGCGAACUCUUGGCGACCUCCAGCGGCAACAGCUUCGGCGAUCUUAUUUCAACUCGCAUAUGAUGCUGGGUUGUGUCACUGUUUUUUAUUGAUAGAAGGAAAAGAUAUCCAGAGUGUAUCUCUGAAGAUAAUAGAAGGAGGAGCCAUGAAUCUACUCCACAUUUGUUUCGUAGCUUUUCUCCUCUAUGUGAAGGUGUUCUUCCUCCUGACGGCCUUCCCCCUCAUCCUCUCGUCGACUGUGAACCGUUAUGGUGGUAGUUUACGACGGCGAUGGCCAGCAGCAUAUCGUGACCAGCGAGAUUUCUUCCUUCGACGGCUGAACAGAUUUGGUGUACAAUAGUAGACGACCGGCGCUCCUUCUCGGUCGAUUUCCUUCUUGACCGACGAAAAUCAAAACGUACAGCAGCAACUAUACAUGGUUUUUCUCCCGCGUGAGGCGUCGACGUGUUCUCUCCGGCGUGAACAGCGAUGGCAUAGUGAUAUUUGCUGUUGUUACUAAUUGAUGAUGAUGAAUGGGUUGUGUUGCUGUUGUUGAUUGAUGAAAGGAGGAUGAGACAAAUAAAAUAAAAACAAAAGAAAAAGUUGAAGAGGAAAACAUGGUGGAGUGUCUGCCAAAAGAAAGAAUAUGACAAAAAGGACAAAAGGGAAAAUAAAAAGAAAGAACAACAGAUGGCGAGAAUCAUGAAGUUCAAAGAUUGGAAUGGCCUAGUUUGGCGUUUUGUGAAUUUCUCAAAUGGCAGACAUGUUCCCAUGCGUAGCCUGGACGGAAUAUACAAAUUCAAGUGUGACCUUACUUGAGUUUUAAAAUAGAGGUUAAAACAAUAUUGCAUGGGGUUGUGAGAUGGAAUCUGAUUCAUGCGCCAAACUUAGCUGGAAUCCAAAAUGAAAUAUUAUAUUAUAUAAUACAAUAUACGGAGUAUAUUAUUAUUAUGGAGAAUAAUUCUCCAUAGUGAUUAUUGCCAUACUUACCGCACAUGGCUUAUCUUUAGGAUGCAUUCUGCCUAACCCACAUAUAUCCUAUUUAAUAUAUAUUUGUUUAUUUGAUGGCAGGGAACUACUAAGCGGAAUUGAGUGCGGUAGUACACUGGAAAUUAAAUGUUGGAAUAUAACUUCGGAGAUUUUGACCAUACUCAGUUAAGGUUUGCCGCCUCAUCAUAUUUUAAUAUGAUAAAAUAUUAUUCAUGCCGUAUACAUUUAUAUGAUAUUAGUUAUGUGCAAAUGAUUAUUAUGUGCACUAGUAAUAUAUUAUUUGGCAUUAUCAUAUUUCAUAAAAUAUUAUUAUGGCAUGAUAAGAGUAUAUAUGAUCUAUGUAUUUACAUCCAGUUGAUGAUUUAAUUUUGAGAGCAUUUGAAAUAUGAAAUAUUGUGACAAGCAUUUUUAUGGUGAA
Molecule: long non-coding RNA, 1835 nt
Organism: Ipomoea triloba (trilobed morning glory)
Lineage: Eukaryota; Viridiplantae; Streptophyta; Magnoliopsida; Solanales; Convolvulaceae
Exons: 2
Source: RefSeq, a predicted model, not a curated record